Molecule: ribosomal RNA, 1477 nt
Filed under: uncultured Bordetella sp.
Lineage: Bacteria; Pseudomonadati; Pseudomonadota; Betaproteobacteria; Burkholderiales; Alcaligenaceae
Description: partial 16S-23S ribosomal RNA intergenic spacer
Rfam family: Bacterial small subunit ribosomal RNA
Source: RNAcentral
GGUUUGAUUCUGCCUGAUUGAACGCUGGCGGGAUGCUUUACAUGCAAGUCGAACGGCAGCACGGACUUCGGUCUGGUGGCGAGUGGCGAACGGUGAGUAAUGUAUCGGAACGUGCCUAGUAGCGGGGGAUAACUACGCGAAAGCGUAGCUAAUACCGGGCAUACGAAGCCCCUUCGGGGGAAAGCGGGGACCUUCGGGCCUCGCACUAUUAGAGCGUGGCCGAUAUCGGAUUAGCUAGUUGGUGGGGUAACGGCUCACCAAGGCGACGAUCCGUAGCUGGUUUGAGAGGAUGACCAGCCACACUGACUGGAGACGGGCCCAGACUCCUACGGGAGGCAGCAGGGAAUUUUGGAUAAUGGGAACCCUGAUCCAGCCAUCCCGCGUGUGCGAUGAAGGCCUUCGGGUUGUAAAGCACUUUUGGCGGAAGAAACGGCACGGGAUAAUACCCCGUGCAACUGACGGUACCUGCAGAAUAAGCACCGGCUAAUCAGCGCCAGCAGCCGCGUAAUACGUAGGUGCAAGCGCAACUGAAUUACUGGGCGCAAAGCGUGCGCAGGCGGUUCGGAAAGAAAGAUGUGAAAUCCCAGAGCUAACUUUGGGAACUGCAUUUUUAACCAAUGUUAGAGGAAGCCGUGAGGGAGGUGGAAUUCCGCGUGUAGCAGUGAAAUGUGUAGAUAUGCGGAGAACACCGAUGGCGAAGGCAGCCUCCUGGGAUAACACUGACGCCUGGUGCACGAAAGCGUGGGGAGCAAACAGGAUUAGAUACUCCUGGUAGUCCACGCCCUAAACGAUGUCAACUAGCCGUUGGGGCCUUCGGGCCUUUGGUAAGCGCAGCUAACGCGUGAAGUUGACCGCCUGGGGAGUACGUCGCAAGAUUAAAAACUCAAAGGAAUUGGACGGGGACCCGCACAAAGCGGUGGAUGAUGUGGAUUAAUUCGAUGCAACGCGAAAACCUUACUCACCCUUGACAUGUCUGAAUCCCGAAGAGAUUUGGGAGUGCUCGCAAGAGAACCGGAACACAGGUGCUGCAUGGCUGUCGUCAGCUCGUGUCGUGAGAUGUUGGGUUAAGUCCCGCAACGAGCGCAACCCUUGUCAUUAGUUGCUGCUGAAAGGGCACUCAACAGACUGCCGGUGACAAACCGGAGGGAAGCUGGUGGGGAUGACGUGUCAAGUCCUCAUGGCCCUUAUGGGUAGGGCUUCACACGUCAUACAAUGGUCGGGACAGAGGGUCGCCAACCCGCGAGGGGGAGCCAAUCCCAGAAACCCGAUCGUAGUCCGAUCGCAGUCUGCAACUCGACUGCGUGAAGUCGGAAUCGCUAGUAAUUCGAUCAACAUGUCGCGGUGAAUACGUUCCUGGGUCUUGUACACCGCCCGUCACACCAUGGAGUGGGUUUUACCAGAAGUAGUUAGCCUAACCGUAAGGAGGGCGAUUGUCUCACGGUAGUGGAUUCAGACUGGGGUGAAGUCAACAAGGUAG